This 304-nucleotide ribosomal RNA is filed under the name uncultured soil bacterium. RNAcentral's name for it is "bacterial SSU rRNA". It matches the Rfam family "Bacterial small subunit ribosomal RNA", at positions 26 to 309 of the family's 1533-position model. The record is from RNAcentral.
AGAACGAACGCUGGCGGCGUGGAUAAGACAUGCAAGUCGAACGGGAUUACUUUUGUAGCAAUACAGAAGUAAUUCAGUGGCGAACGGGUGCGUAACACGUGGGCAAUCUGCCGAAAAGUGGGGGAUAGCGUCGCCGAAAGGCGAAUUAAUACCGCAUGUGGUGAGGGACGACAUCUUCCCGAAGUCCAAAGCCCGGGGCAACCUGGCGCUUUUUGAGGGACGCCCGCGGCCUAUCAGUCUAGUUGGUGAGGUACGGACUCACGACGUCUUCGGACGGUAGCCUGGUCGUAGAGUACGGACGACC